GAUGAAGAACGUAGUGAAAUGCGAUACGUAAUGUGAAUUGCAGAAUUCAGUGAAUCAUCGAAUCUUUGAACGCAUAUUGCGCUCUCUGGUAUUCCGGAGAGCAUGCUUGUUUGAGUAUCAGUAAACACCUCAACUUCCAUAUCUUUUUUGAAAUGGGAGUUGGACUUGAGUGAUCCCAACGCUUUUCCUCACCGAAAAGUGGCGGGUUACUUGAAAUGCAGGUGCAGCUGGACUUUCCUCUGAGCUAUAAGCAUAUCUAUUUAGUCUGCCUAAAAAACAGAUUAUUACCUUUGCUGCAGCUAACAUAAAGGAGAUUAGUUCUUGUGCUGACUGAUGCAGGAUUCACAAAGACGGCUUCGGCCGACUUUGUAAACUCGAUCUCAAAUCAAGUAAGACUACCCGCUGAACUUAAGCAUAUCAAUAAGCGGAGGA
RNAcentral lists this unclassified non-coding RNA (432 nucleotides) under soil metagenome. RNAcentral describes it as "partial contains 5.8S ribosomal RNA, internal transcribed spacer 2, and large subunit ribosomal RNA". The stretch from base 1 to 120 matches the Rfam family "5.8S ribosomal RNA", at positions 35 to 154 of the family's 154-position model. The record is from RNAcentral.